This 277-nucleotide unclassified non-coding RNA is filed under the name Hevea brasiliensis (rubber tree). The record is from RNAcentral. Lineage: Eukaryota; Viridiplantae; Streptophyta; Magnoliopsida; Malpighiales; Euphorbiaceae.
CCUUUCUGACGACACACGUUUCUGUAAACAUGAAUCAUUCAGUUAAAAUCAAAGAGGCAGAAUACAAGUAAUCAAACAUCACCAUGGAUGGAAAUAUGCUCUGAAAGAAUGAAAGAUAGCAACUUCCAAUCUGCCUUGUUCUUCAUUAUUGCACAACACUAGCUAUUAUGCGACAUUUGGCUUGUCCAAAACAGAGUGAUGUAGAACAAAAGAAAGAAUCGAAAGCAAAGAAUGAAAAAAUCAAGGACCAAUACUUGAAAAAGAGAAUUAAUUCUCA